RNAcentral lists this non-coding RNA (31 nucleotides) under Rattus norvegicus (Norway rat). Lineage: Eukaryota; Metazoa; Chordata; Mammalia; Rodentia; Muridae. The record is from RNAcentral.
UUCAUUCACUCAACCGGUAUGUUAAAAGCAC